RNAcentral lists this ribosomal RNA (253 nucleotides) under uncultured bacterium. RNAcentral's name for it is "partial 16S ribosomal RNA". It matches the Rfam family "Bacterial small subunit ribosomal RNA", at positions 524 to 776 of the family's 1533-position model. The record is from RNAcentral.
UACAGAGGGUGCUAGCGUUGCUCGGAAUCAUUGGGCGUAAAGGGCGUGUAGGCGGUUUGUUAAGUCAUGUGUGAAAUCCCUCGGCUCAACCGGGGAACGACGCAUGAAACUGGCAAGCUAGAGUACCAAAGAGGGGGGUGGAAUUCCCGGUGUAGCGGUGAAAUGCGUAGAUAUCAGGAGGAACACCGGUGGUGCAGACGGCUCUCUGGACCGUAACUGACGCUGAGACACGAAAGCGUGGGUAGCAAACAGG